UUUACUGAACCCCACUUAUAAGAAGACUGUAUUGUUAUAACUUUUGACCAUCUGUUUGGUAAAUAUUUUCAUGACAUUUUUCUCUUGUUCUACUUAACAGAGGGGGGAGGGGGGAGCAGGACUGUUUUUAUGGACGUCAUGAUUGGGUGUUUUUAAGCUUGAGAUUUCGUGAUUGAUCCUGUCGUGAUCCAGGAAUUCUUUUUCAGAGUUUUGGGAUGUCAGGAUUUAAAUUUCUUUAAAUUCUGGACCUCCGGAUUUCAUGUUUUUAAUCCUGGGAUUUCUGAAUCAGGACCCCUUUUAACACUUUAUUUUUGGCCAGUAACUUGACAGUGAUUAUUGGAAAGUGAAAGUGAUUUGAGUCCUCUGUCGAACAUCCACGUCAUUUGUUUAUAUAUCUUAACUUACAUGUACGAAUAAGAAUAAGCUUACAACAGCAAUAAGAGAAAUCCAGCCUUAAUUUUUUUAUUUGAAAUUUAUACUUUCAUUCUAAUUCAGAUAUAAUCCAAUUUACAAUUCUAAGACUGAAUGGAUUAAGAGUGACCUUAGUUGAACGACUGCUUUAUAUAAGCUUUUGCAUAACAUUUGCUAUUGAUCUGUGUGAUCAAAUUGUUUUGUUGUAAAGCUAGACUGUUAAGAGAAAUUUUCAAUUCAGUGUUAGAGAGAAAAGUGGUAAUUGCAUGACUUGCAAGGGUGUUAUUAUGUGUGUUGACUAUUUCAUUUAUAUUUGUUAGAAUGCUGUUGAUGCAGACUGUAUGUUAUGAACUGUUAGAUUUGAUGUAAAGGAACUGAAAAUUGUCCUAAAUUUUGAUAAUAUGUAGCUGAAAAGUGACAACCUAAGCCCUCCAUAGAUAUCGAAGACGACAUUAUUGUGGGAAACCCUUCUAACACAACCCUCAUGCUUAUUGACAAUAUCUAUGAAACAAUGCAAUAUAAACCACACUUGUCCUUUAUUCCAAAUGUCAUUUUAUUUAACACUUAUAUUGUGCAGAUACAUGUUUUGUUAAGACUCGAACUAAUAGACAUUGUAUGAGAAGUACUGUAUUAGAACCUAUGAAUUGUACAAAUAUACAUUUCAGUUGUAUUAUAAUUGUUUUACAUGAAUUGUAAGUCUAGCACUUGAAUCAAACUUUAUUUAUUGGGUAAAGCGUUGCAAUUGUAUUGUUUUCUUGAUGACCUGAAUAUGCAAAUUCUGUAUCAUUCAUACGGAUGCCUUUAUAGUCCAGCAUAAAAAGUAUAAAGAAAGCAGGCCUGAGCAUGCUUGAAAUCAUUACUACUUUGCUGGCAUAGCUGGCAACAUUGCCAUUUCGCUGGUAUAGCUGUCAACAUUGCCACUUUGUUGGUAUAGCUGGCAACAUUGCCAUUUUAGUUUUACACUAAAUCAAGCUGAAAAAACAUGUGAGAAUUAAUUUAUCCUCUGAUUGUAAAUUAAUUAAAGUACAUAUUUUUCUACUUAUGAUAGUUAAUAUAAAUUCAGCAUGUUAGCACCCCCACUAGAAGUUUGUUGAAAAUAGAAAAUCAAAUUGAGGACAUUUCAUCUCCUAUACAUAAUGGAAUCUAUUUUACCCCCUUUUGAAUAGUGAAUGAUCUAGAAUUUAAACUUGAAAUCCAAAGCAUAUUCAUUUAUUCCAAUAUUUGAAAUAUGUUUUUUUCUGCUUCACCCCUUCUUGAACAGUGAAUAACAGGGAAUUUGAACAUGAAAGCAAUCGAAUUAUCAUUUAUUUCAAUAUUUGAAAUCCAUCAUUUUUUCCUGCUUUACCUCUUUUAGAACAGUAAAUAACAGGGAAUUUGAACAUGAAAGCAAUCGAAUUAUCAUUUAUUUCAAUAUUUGAAAUCCAUUAUGUUUUGUUUGGAAUAAUAUUUUCAUGAUUUAUAAUUGCCAAUUUAAGGUAUUUGUGAUUAUUUGUUAGUGUAUGUGUGUUGAAUCAUAAUAAUGACAUUGUGUAUACAUCUCUAAUUGGUAAUCAGUGUCUCCUUUUGUUUGCUUUCUAAAUUAUUUCUAUGUUUGUUGCAUAAUUUAAGCUAUUUUAGAGAUAUUUUUAUUUCCAUUAUUCAUCCCAUUGUAUAACUUUAUUUUGUAUUUUUAAUUUACAAAUUAUCAGCAUAAUUAUUUGUUUUGUAGAGUUAGUCUGGCACUGACACAUUUUUCUGUUACAGCUGAUUGCAGUGAGCAUGUAGGUAAAGAUAAUAUCUUUGGUAAGCUUGCUUGCUAGCUGAACCAUGAAGUCAUUAUUAGGUUAGGUAAUCUACCCUUCUUUAGGAAUGGACCAGUCUGACCGAUAAACAAUCUUUAGUCUUUAGUCUUUAGAACUAAACUACUUCUAAAGGAGGGUAGUAUACCUUACCUUAUAAUGACUUCACGGUCUAGCAAGCAAGCUAAAUUAAGAUGUUACAGUAAAUCUACACACUCAAAGCAAUUGGCUGUAAAGGCCCUCUUAGAAGGCUUUUUUUAAAUACAUAAGAGAAAUAUACCGGUAGUCCCAAAUCUUAAGAGAAAAAAUAUAGUCCCAACAUUUAGAGCUGUAACCAAAGAUCUCACUUAACGGAAAAGUGUAACAUUUGACAUGCACUAGGGUAAGUAUUGGCAGCUUCUGAUUAAAGUUUUAAAUAAAUACAUUAUGAUGCAUACUGUUGAUUUUUCUUCACCAAGAUUCCAUAAUAAUUAAGAGUAUUAUUUAUUUUAUUAGGGUAUAAUUUGGGUAUUUAUCUACCUUAUGUUUUUAUGUUAGAACAGCAUUUUCCUUGGUUUAUUACAUCUUAUUUUUCGUAAUUUUCAUUGAAAAAAAUGCUUGUUAAAAAAAAAUCGAUAUUCUUCAUAUUUUGCAUUGUUUAACUGAUUUUCUGUGUUGCACAAAUUCUGAUUUUUCCUUAAUAACUUUUCAUUUAUAUAAAAUUGCCAUUGAAAGAUCCAUUUCAAAACAAAAUAAACAGGAUAAAAACCAUCUGUCAAAAGUUGUUGCUUAAAUUUACAAUAUUUUCAACAUAUUUUUUUCUGAAAAGUUUGAAUAUCUUAUUGUUGGGUCUUAUCAAAUUAUAUUUAAUGAUGUCUUGCGUUGAAAAUUUCACAUUUGACCAUGAGAUUUUUUCCAUUUUAUGAACACUCAGAAAAAAUAGCACAACACAAAAUUAUGCCGUAGAAAUAGUAUCAUGUAAUCUUUUUCCUGAAAGGGACUGUGCAAUUUUACCACAGUAUUAUAUACUGUGAACUACUGAAUUAAUUUGUGUGAUCGUUUUGUCUGGUUUGAUUUGGUUGAUAAAACGUUUUUUUUUGCUUUUUUUUAAUUAGAGUUGUCUCUCUUGUAACAAGGGAAAACAUAACUCAAUAGUCCAUCAUUCAUCAGCUGAAAAAAUCAAUUACUGUAAAUUCAGAAAUUAAUGCGAGGUUUUAAUUAUUGCGAAAAAUGCAACAGAGUUGUAAACGCAAUAAUUUAAACUCGCAUUUUGAAAUAUUUUAUACGAAUUAUUAUAUAAAACAGGAUUUUUCUCAAAAUCGUAAAAAUUAAAAUUACAUUUUAGUCUUAACUGACAAAAUCGCAAUAAUAGAUGCACACAAUAAUUUCUGAAUUUACAGUAGAUUUGAGUUAGCUCCCUUUAAUCUGAGUUGUCUCCAUUCAAUCUAAUUAGGCAUUUUAUUGAGUAUUCAUCAACAAGGGCCUGUUUAAAACUGAAAACCACACAGUCAUUGUCAAAUGAAUGAAUUUGAAUGAAUGAAUCUUUAUUGCAUUAGCAACAACAUUGCUUUAGCAUAAAACAAGGUAUAUACAAAUAAAUAACAAGUCAGAUUUAUUGUAGAUUUUGAAUUUUUAAUUUGUGAAAGAAUGUUCACAAUCUUGAGAAGAAAAAAAAAUUACCAGCCUUUUGGCUUGCCUAUAAGCAUUUGAUUGAAAUCAAAAUUAUUGAAUCUCAGGAUGUUUAGAAAUAUAACAAUGCAAUAAAGUAUUACUUCAAUGCAAUGACAUUACAUUUAGUUGUUAAAUUCUCUCUCAAAUGGAGAUAAAAAAAAAAACUACAUCAUUCAGACAACACAUAAGUGAUAUUUAUAUUUUUCCUUGCUGGCUGAGAAUUUUGUUUUAAGUUUAUAAAGGAUAUGUAUAACAUGUUCAUACACAAAUAUUUCAGGUUCACAUUUAACUUGAUUAAAACAUACUGUGACACCUUUAUCCUUUUAUUUUGUAUAUCAAUAUGUGCAGUGCUAUUUUAUUGUUAUUUUGUGUAGCUAAAUGUGCAGUGCUCAUUUAUUGUUAUUUUGUGUAAUUAUUUUGUGUAGCUAAAUGUGCAGCGCUCAUUUUUCCUGUUAUUUUAUGAAGCUAUAUGUGCAGUGCUAAUUUAUUGUGUUGCUUUAUGUGUAUUACAUAUACUCAGCUUUAUUUGUAUCUAUUAUUCUGUUUAUUGAUAAGUAGAAAAUUUAAGUUAAUGUCUGUCAUAUUUGUCGUAUGAAGCUUAUUUGAGUUGACUCUCUUGUCUAAAAUCAUUUUUAUGUGUACUGGUCUAGUAAGGUCAGUUUUUAUUACCUUAAAUUGAAUGUAAUGAAAAAACUUUUAAAACAGUGUUAAAAUAUUCUCAUUGUAAUGUUUGUGACUUAUCGCGAAAAUAAUAUUUGCAUCAAACUUGUGACCGCGUGGGCUUGGUGAUCUAAGUAGAUCCUUAGACUCUCCAACUCGCUUGUGGUGAUGUGCAUACUCUAAAUUGGAAGAGAUUUAAUUUAUACAUGAGUAAAGCACAAAGUGCAUUUUACUGAAAUUUAGAAAUCUCUAACUCUUUGAGAAAUUCAAUGGGAGGUAAUCUGAAAAAAAAUCUUAUACUAUGUAGUCAUAUAUUUGUAUUGAGCCAUAAGAUAGUAUUAAAGUUUUGUUUUAAUAAUGUUUUGUAGAAUUUUAUUUUUACUUAAUUUAAUCGAAUAGAAAUCCUAUGUAUAAUACCUAUAUAUUACCUCAUUUUGGUGUGCUUUGUAAAAUAAAAGUAAUAUAUUGAUCCCUAUAUCGUUAACAUCUGUUAUAUGUCAAAUUUUAAGGGUGGUUGAAAAAUCAAUCUUUUAUUUGAUAAACUAAUUGAAUAUAUAGAUUCUUCAUUUUUGAUUUUGAUUUUUUUUUCAAGAUACAUUGAGAUAAUUUUAAAUUUUGAUUAUUUAAAAAAAAUGGAGACGGGUAAAUAUAAUUUAAUGAUUUGGUAAGAUGGUAGAGUCUGUUUCUUAAAUGAUUAAUUUUAUUCAAAAUAAACAUGGACAGAAAUCCUAUGAAACUAUAAAUGUUUUAUUGUUAAUAUAUCCAGCUGGUCAAACAGGGUUUAAAUGUACAAGGAAUUAGAGAUAAUCAGGCAAAUAUUUUAUCUUUUAUCGCUUUUCAGCCUCAUCAACAACUUUCACUAAUUUUUUCUUAAUUUCUAUUUUCUGGCCCUUUGGUUCAACUACUUUAUUUAUAUGCCUGUGUUUGAUUCUACAAAUAAUAUCAGAGAUGUAUUACUUCCAAUGCUAUAAAUAAAAACUAUUUUUUCUGCAGAUUGCCACUGGUUGUAUGAUUGUGAAAAGUUUAAAUAUUUUGUUAUCACAUCAUUUCUAUUUAUACACGAAUUGACCAUGUAAAUUCUAACAUUGUCCUACUUACACGAGUUUUUUUUUUUAAAUCUUAAAAUUCACAAUUUUCAACAUUGCAGCAACUAAUAUAUUCUUUGUUUUAUCAAAUAUCCUUGUACCACUCAUGAUACUAAUUUUUAAACUUUUUUUGUUUAAAAGAUGUCUGUAUUCAUCUCGGUAUGAUUUAUGUAACAUAAUUUCCAUUCAAAUAUAAUUCAUAUAAUCUGCAUAAUGUUACGUAAGAAUAGAGAUUGAAAGGUUAUUGCAUAAUUCCAGAUACUAACUUUUUAUUUUUAAAAAUGGUCCCUUUUACAUCUUUGUGAGUUUUGUGUGAGAUGAUCCAUCCAAACAUCAAAUUUAAUUCGUAUAUUCUACAUAUGUAAGAAGUAAUUGCAUUAUUCCUGAUACUAACUUUUUAUUAAAAAAAAAGUCCCUUAUACAUCUUUAUGUGUUUUAUGUAAAAUAAUUUCCAUCCACACAUUAAUUCAUAUUUUCUGCAUAUGUAAGAAUAAAGAUUGUAAGGUUAUUGCAUAAUUCCUAUCACUAUCUUUUGAUUUAAAAUUAGUCCCUUAUACAUCUUUGUAUAUUUUAUGUAAGAUAAUUUGCAUUCAACAUCAGAAUGAAUUCACUGUAUUCUGCAUAUGUAAGAAUAAAGAUUGUAAGGUCAUUGCAUAAUUCCUGAUACAAACUUUUUAUUUAAAAAAGUCCCUUUGUGAGGUUUGUGUAAGAUAUGCCACCCAAACAUCAGAUUUGAUUUGUAUAUUCUACAUACAUGUAUGUAAGAAGUUUUUGCAUAAUUCCUGAUACAAACUUUUUAUUUAAAAAACGUCCCUUUCUAUACAAACAUCUGAUUUAAUUCACUAUAUUCUACAUAUAUGUAUGAAUAGAGAAUGUAAGGUUAUUGCAUAUUCCAUAAAAAUAGACUUGCUAUAUUUAGUGAUGAUGUAAUAUAAUUUCACUGUGAUUGUGUGAUACGGUGUAUAUUUUAGGUCACUGUGAUUAUUGUAAUUUAGAAAUUUGAUUUUAGACAGGUUGCUUUAUGUUAUCAAAUAAAGUUUUAUUAUAUA
Mytilus trossulus (common blue mussel) is the source of this 6633-nucleotide long non-coding RNA. RefSeq lists it as uncharacterized. The record is from RefSeq and is a predicted model, not a curated record. NCBI's taxonomy places the organism in Eukaryota, Metazoa, Mollusca, Bivalvia, Mytilida, Mytilidae. The transcript is spliced from 2 exons.